Molecule: non-coding RNA, 336 nt
Organism: Vicia faba (fava bean)
Lineage: Eukaryota; Viridiplantae; Streptophyta; Magnoliopsida; Fabales; Fabaceae
Source: the annotation of a GenBank genome assembly
AUGGGAUUCAAAUCAAAAGCAAUUUUUCAUUCAUUAUUCAAGAAAUCACUCAAGAGCACAACAGAAGAAUCAAGAGGCUCUCAAGUUCAAACUCUUCUCCCUCUCUCCCAAGAACUCACCGACCGGCCUCCCUCCCCUUCUCCGGCCGACUGCAUCGCCUUGCCCAGUUGUCCGCCCUCCUCACUGUCCGGUCAAGUCUUCGCUGGCAUACACCCCUGUUCCGGCCUCUCUCUCGGCGAUACUCCCUUCAUCUUCGCAUACUCCCUCCGUUUUCUAAUUCCGGUCAAGCUUCCUCCUCUGAUCAAUUCUUCGCGUCAAUUUUGGUAUAAUUCUUGA